This 489-nucleotide ribosomal RNA is filed under the name uncultured Bacillota bacterium. RNAcentral's name for it is "bacterial SSU rRNA". It matches the Rfam family "Bacterial small subunit ribosomal RNA", at positions 355 to 836 of the family's 1533-position model. The record is from RNAcentral. Lineage: Bacteria; Bacillati; Bacillota.
UAGGGAAUCUUCCACAAUGGACGAAAGUCUGAUGGAGCAAUGCCGCGUGAGUGAAGAAGGUUCUCGGAUCGUAAAGCUCUGUUGUGAGGGAAGAACAAGUACGGGAGUAACUGUCCGUACCUUGACGGUACCUCAUUAGAAAGCCACGGCUAACUACGUGCCAGCAGCCGCGGUAAUACGUAGGUGGCAAGCGUUGUCCGGAAUUAUUGGGCGUAAAGCGCGCGCAGGCGGCCUUUUAAGUCUGAUGUGAAAGCCCACGGCUCAACCGUGGAAGGUCAUUGGAAACUGAAAGGCUUGAGUACAGAAGAGGAAAGCGGAAUUCCACGUGUAGCGGUGAAAUGCGUAGAGAUGUGGAGGAACACCAGUGGCGAAGGCGGCUUUCUGGUCUGUAACUGACGCUGAGGCGCGAAAGCGUGGGGAGCAAACAGGAUUAGAUACCCUGGUAGUCCACGCCGUAAACGAUGAGUGCUAAGUGUUAGGGGGUUUCCG